Mus spicilegus (steppe mouse) is the source of this 578-nucleotide long non-coding RNA. The record is from Ensembl. NCBI's taxonomy places the organism in Eukaryota, Metazoa, Chordata, Mammalia, Rodentia, Muridae.
AGAAGUUACAUAGAGAAAGCUAGUGCAAAGGCCCUGGAGAGUGAGAAAGGUUCUGAGAGGUGUCGGAAGGUCGGCUACCUCAUCAACUGGCUUCAAGAAAGGCGUGACACCGAGGUUCUGUCCCUGAAGUCAGGACAGGGGUGCUGGCUAGCGUGAGGCCAGAGAGCAGCGUUUGGGCGAUUUUUAUUUUAUUUCAUUUUUUGAUUUGCGCCCUAACUGGCCCCUAGCGAGUAUGGCUUCUGGGCGUGGGCCACCACGCCUUGCGGGCUCAGGCCCCCACUGAGUUUUGGGAGGGGGCUAAGGAAGCGGGUGGCGAGGGGGUUGGGCCUAGAAACCUGCAAACUUCGCCGAGGGAAGGGAGGAGUCUGCACGAGACCCAGCGAGUCUCUCCUGCGGUCAGACGCCCAGCCCUGCUUUUGUCGGCGUGUGUGACCUCAGGGCUGCACCUCGUGGCUCCCAGGCGCUGUGAGACGCGACUGUAGGUGGACAGACCAAUCCCGACCUGAGGAGAGCUUUGGAUGACUUUUUUUCCUUUUAGGAUUUUGAACUUCUGACGCUCUCGCCAGGAAAAGGUGCGC